RNAcentral lists this ribosomal RNA (447 nucleotides) under uncultured bacterium. RNAcentral's name for it is "partial 16S ribosomal RNA". It matches the Rfam family "Bacterial small subunit ribosomal RNA", at positions 29 to 523 of the family's 1533-position model. The record is from RNAcentral.
AGCGAACGCUGGCGGCAGGCCUAACACAUGCAAGUCGAGCGCCCCGCAAGGGGAGCGGCAGACGGGAGAGUAACACGUGGGAACGUACCCUUCGGUUCGGAACAACCCAGGGAAACUUGGGCUAAUACCGGAUACGUCCGAAAGGAGAAAGAUUUAUCGCCGAGGGAUCGGCCCGCGUCUGAUUAGCUAGUUGGUGGGGUAACGGCCCACCAAGGCGACGAUCAGUAGCUGGUCUGAGAGGAUGAUCAGCCUCACUGGGACUGAGACACGGCCCAGACUCCUACGGGAGGCAGCAGUGGGGAAUAUUGGACAAUGGGCGCAAGCCUGAUCCAGCCAUGCCGCGUGGGUGAUGAAGGCCCUAGGGUUGUAAAGCCCUUUCGGCGGGGAAGAUAAUGACGGUACCCGCAGAAGAAGCCCCGGCUAACUUCGUGCCAGCCGCCGCCGUAA